ACGGAUGGGGCAAGCGUUGUUCGGAAUUAUUGGGCGUAAAGGGCGUGUAGGCGGGGGAUUAAGUUAGAUGUGAAAGCCACGGGCUCAACCCGUGAACUGCAUCUAAGACUGGUUAUCUUGAGUUCGGGAGAGGAGAGCGGAAUUCCAGGUGUAGCGGUGAAAUGCGUAGAUAUCUGGAAGAACACCAGUGGCGAAGGCGGCUCUCUGGCCUGAAACUGACGCUGAAGCGCGAAAGCGUGGGGAGCGAACAG
RNAcentral lists this ribosomal RNA (251 nucleotides) under uncultured prokaryote. Its description in RNAcentral is "partial 16S rRNA". It matches the Rfam family "Bacterial small subunit ribosomal RNA", at positions 525 to 775 of the family's 1533-position model. The record is from RNAcentral.